ACGAACGCUGGCGGCGUGCUUAACACAUGCAAGUCGAGCGGUAAGGCCCUUCGGGUACACGAGCGGCGAACGGGUGAGUAACACGUGGGUGACCUGCCUUUAGCUCUGGGAUAAGCCUGGGAAACUGGGUCUAAUACCGGAUAUGACCUCAUGAUGCAUGUUGUGGGGUGGAAAGCCUUGUGCGGCUGGAGAUGGGCCCGCGGCCUAUCAGCUUGUUGGUGGGGUGANGGCCUACCAAGGCGACGACGGGUAGCCGGCCUGAGAGGGCGACCGGCCACACUGGGACUGAGACACGGCCCAGACUCCUACGGGAGGCAGCAGUGGGGAAUCUUGCGCAAUGGGCGAAAGCCUGACGCAGCGACGCCGCGUGAGGGAUGACGGCCU
Molecule: ribosomal RNA, 384 nt
Filed under: uncultured bacterium
Lineage: Bacteria
Description: bacterial SSU rRNA
Rfam family: Bacterial small subunit ribosomal RNA
Source: RNAcentral